RNAcentral lists this ribosomal RNA (263 nucleotides) under uncultured bacterium. RNAcentral describes it as "partial 16S ribosomal RNA". It matches the Rfam family "Bacterial small subunit ribosomal RNA", at positions 333 to 593 of the family's 1533-position model. The record is from RNAcentral.
UUGAUCCUACGGGAGGCAGCAGUGAGGAAUAUUGGUCAAUGGGCUAAGGCCUGAACCGGCCAAGUCGCGUGAGGGAAGACGGUCCUAUGGAUUGUAAACCUCUUUUGUCGGGGAGCAACGAGGCCACGUGUGGCCGAAGUGAGAGUACCCGAAGAAAAAGCAUCGGCUAACUCCGUGCCAGCAGCCGCGGUAAUACGGAGGAUGCGAGCGUUAUCCUGAUUUAUUGGGUUUAAAGGGUGCGUAGGCGGAACAUUAAGUCAGCG